Molecule: ribosomal RNA, 505 nt
Filed under: uncultured bacterium
Lineage: Bacteria
Description: partial 16S ribosomal RNA
Rfam family: Bacterial small subunit ribosomal RNA
Source: RNAcentral
GACGAACGCUGGCGGCGUGCCUAAUACAUGCAAGUCGAACGCACAGUUUAUACCGUAGCUUGCUACACCAUAGACUGUGAGUUGCGAACGGGUGAGUAACGCGUAGGUAACCUGCCUGGUAGCGGGGGAUAACUAUUGGAAACGAUAGCUAAUACCGCAUAAUAUUAAUUAUUGCAUGAUAAUUAAUUGAAAGGUGCAAUUGCACCACUACCAGAUGGACCUGCGUUGUAUUAGCUAGUAGGUGAGGUAACGGCUCACCUAGGCGACGAUACAUAGCCGACCUGAGAGGGUGAUCGGCCACACUGGGACUGAGACACGGCCCAGACUCCUACGGGAGGCAGCAGUAGGGAAUCUUCGGCAAUGGACGAAAGUCUGACCGAGCAACGCCGCGUGAGUGAAGAAGGUUGUCGGAUCGUAAAGCUCUGUUGUAAGAGAAGAACGGGUGUGAGAGUGGAAAGUUCACACUGUGACGGUAGCUUACCAGAAAGGGACGGCUAACUACGUG